ACGUAAUAGAUACCCGGGUAGUCCACGCCCUAAACGAUGUCUACUAGUUGUUGGUGGAGUAAAAUCCAUGAGUAAACGCAGCUAAACGCGUGAAGUAGACCGCCUGGGGAGUACGGUCGCAAGAUUAAAACUCAAAUGAAUUGACGGGGCCCGCACAAGCGGUGGAUUAUGUGGAUUAAAUUCGAUGCAACGCGAAAAACCUUAACCUGGCCUUGACAUGUAACGAACUUUCCAGAGAUGGAUUGGUGCUCGAAAGAGAACGUUAACACAGGUGCUGCAUGGCUGUCGUCAGCCCGUGUCGUGAGAUGUU
Molecule: ribosomal RNA, 310 nt
Filed under: uncultured bacterium
Lineage: Bacteria
Description: bacterial SSU rRNA
Rfam family: Bacterial small subunit ribosomal RNA
Source: RNAcentral